CAUUAGAUGACCGAAGUAAGUGUUGGUCUCUUAAACCAUAUCAUAGUAUUAACAAAUACUUCUAAUGA
This 68-nucleotide transfer RNA is filed under the name Truljalia hibinonis. RNAcentral describes it as "tRNA-Lys". The record is from RNAcentral. Lineage: Eukaryota; Metazoa; Arthropoda; Insecta; Orthoptera; Gryllidae.